This 433-nucleotide ribosomal RNA is filed under the name uncultured bacterium. RNAcentral's name for it is "partial 16S ribosomal RNA". It matches the Rfam family "Bacterial small subunit ribosomal RNA", at positions 29 to 507 of the family's 1533-position model. The record is from RNAcentral.
AACGAACGCUGGCGGCAUGCCUAACACAUGCAAGUCGAACGAGACCUUCGGGUCUAGGGGCGCACGGGUGCGUAACGCGUGGGAACCUGCCCUUAGGUUCGGAAUAACUCCCCGAAAGGGGUGCUAAUACCGGAUAAUGUCUUCGGACCAAAGAUUUAUCGCCUUUGGAUGGGCCCGCGUUGGAUUAGCUAGUUGGUAGGGUAAAAGCCUACCAAGGCGACGAUCCAUAGCUGGUCUGAGAGGAUGAUCAGCCACACUGGGACUGAGACACGGCCCAGACUCCUACGGGAGGCAGCAGUGGGGAAUAUUGGACAAGGGGCGAAAGUCUGAUCCAGCAAUGCCGGGUGAGUGAUGAAGGCCUUAGGGUUGUAAAGCUCUUUUACCCGGGAUGAUAAUGACAGUACCGGGAGAAUAAGCUCCGGCUAACUCCGUG